GUGCUCACUUCAGCAGUACAUAUACUAAAAUUGGAACAAUACAGAGAUUAGCAUGGCCCCUACAUAAGAAUGACAAGUAAAUUCAUGAAGCAUUCCAUACUUUU
Small nuclear RNA from Callithrix jacchus (white-tufted-ear marmoset), 104 nucleotides. Lineage: Eukaryota; Metazoa; Chordata; Mammalia; Primates; Cebidae. The record is from Ensembl.